RNAcentral lists this long non-coding RNA (2972 nucleotides) under Sus scrofa (pig). RNAcentral's name for it is "lncRNA (ENSSSCG00070002481.1)". The record is from RNAcentral. Lineage: Eukaryota; Metazoa; Chordata; Mammalia; Artiodactyla; Suidae.
GAAGUCUUCAGUUAAUCCAAGUAAUCAUGCUAUGUGCAUGGGAGAGAGAAAACCUGAAUCUUUUUCUGGCUGCCUUACUGAGUGCUAUAAAUUGUCCUCCAACACAUGUAGGGAGAGCAGAGCCAAAAUUUCCACAGAAGGACUCCAACCAGGAAACUCUGGAUGUGCUUCUUUUUUCAGAGAACGACUCUGGCUUUCAGGCCCCCUUGCCAAUCCCACACCCAUGGAGGACCCUUGACUAAUAGUUGUUUUUAAGGAGUCUUUGUUGAUUUCAAACAGAAACUAAAAUGCAACCCAAGGACUCAGAUGAGAGCAGAACUUCUAGAAAGUGAGUCGAAAGCAAAGGAGCGCAUAUACUCUCUGCUGCAAAGGCUUCUGAGAAGGAGAAGUCAAGAGUUUGAUGUCUUUGUCAUCCCUGCUCGGGCAGCAGGAUACUUUCCCAGAGGCCAUGGAGACAGGACGCCUAGGUGCCCAAGCACUGCAGAGAUGGAUUCCAGUGGGAGAUGCCAAAACUCAUUUUUCUGGCUGCAGUUCUCGGACAAGACUUGACCUCUUCCAGUUGGGACUCCCUGCAGUAAGUGUGUGAGCGCGCGUGUACACACACACACACACACACACACACAUUGAACUUGAUUUCUCGAUGGGUUUCCAGAGAUGGGGAAAGACUGGCACAAAUGCCUGUUGGGGAACUGGAUGUCCGAAGUGCUUGCAGUAGGCUUGACUGAGUCAGGAGGAGGAAUCUGGAAGAAGGUGGAGCUUGGGGCUGUGGGGUUAGGGAGCAGUCCUGGUGGGAGAGUGGAGAGAUCCAGAGGGUACCAGCUCCCUUGGUCAUGGCAGUCACUGAAGUAGCAGCACAGGAUGUGUCGGCCACACUGGCCAGGGUCCCAGCUCAAGCCUAUAGAUGUGUUUGAGGAGAUAGUGAUGUUUUGGUUAUUGAUUGUUAAGUAUGAACCCUCUCAAAACACAGUGGCUUAAAAGAACAACAAUUUCAUUUGCUCCAAUUCAGUCUUGGCUUGCAGGUGGUCCUCGUGUGUGCGUUUAGUGGGUUGGGUAGCUGGGAUCUGGUCUCUGCUGGAUGCUGGGAUUACUGGACUCUCUGACUUCAUGGGCACUCAGGGCUUUUCCUUCUUCAUAUGAUCUCUCCACUCAAUCUCUCCACAUGAUUUCUCGGACAGAGUAGCCAGACCUCAUCCAUGGCAGCUCAAGAUAGUCAUGGACUUGGAGAAUAGACUUGUGGUUGCCAAAGGGGAAGGGGAGGGAGUGGGAGAGACUGGGAGCUUGGGGUAAAUAGAUGCAGAAUGUUGCUUUCGGGGUGGAUUAGCAAUGGGAUCCUGCUGUAUAGCACUGGAAACUCUGUCUAGUCACUAAUGAUGGAACACUUAAUGUGAGAAAAAAUUGUGUAUACAUGUAUGUGUAACUGGAUCACCGUGCUGUGCAGGAGAAAAAAAAAAAAUAUAUAUAUAUAUAUAUAUAUAUAUAUAUAUAAAUGAUAUAAAGGAAAGAAAGAAAGAAAAGAAAAAGCCAAGAAGCAAAAAUAGAAGUUUCCAGGCCUUCUCAAAACUAGUCUGGCUACUGGCACAGCUUCACUCUGGUUAAAGCAGUCACAGGGCAGCCCAGGUUCAAGGGAGGGAACUACACAAAGGCAUGAGUUCCAGGAGGCAUGGCUCACUGUGGGCUAUUAAAGCAACAGACUGCCACAGUUGGUACCGUUCCAUAUGUGAGAGCCUCCAAACCACCAGCGUUUAGCUAAAGAGUCUCCAUUUACAACCACCACAAACCAUAUUGCUGACAUUCUUAGAAGAAGCCUCUAAAUAACUUUUUUACUUAUCAUAUCUCUUCAUGUCUAAAAGAUAGCUAUUUGGCUGUAGUAAUAUGUUUUGCCACUUUCUCCUUCACAAAUCUUCUCAGCCCCUUUUUCUCUUUUCAUAGACACAGCUACCUACUUUGUUUAGGCAGGUCUCUCAAUCUUAAUGUGAACACACCUUGGUCAAUUACAGUGGAUUUUAUUUACAUCCAGAAAAUAGAACAUAAAGCCCCAAAGUUUGCAAAUGGCUUAUUACUUUUAAACAGUCAACUGAAGCAGAUUCAAGGUUGACCCUACAGUAGUGUUCCUCUCAGAUUCAUGCACGUACCUGAGGGGCCAAGAAAGAGGUGGAGUUUAGUGUUGAUGCUUUGGGAGUCAUGUAUAACCCUGGCAGAAACAGACCUAACUGCUUGCCUUAAUCUCUCUCUUCAGGUAAAAUUUCUGUUUUAUUUAGGGUGGCAAUAUGCCCAGCCUCUCUUCCAGCUAAGCAUGGCCAUAGGACUAAGUUCUGCCUAAUGAAAUAGAGGGGGAAAUAAUGCCUGGGACUUCCAGAAAGGGUACUUAAAGGGAGCUGGCCUAGCUAAGAAGGAACCCUUAGGCCUUAUUUUGGAUUCCUUCUUCCUGUUACCUGUAUUGCAGAUGCAAUGGUUGGAUCUUGAGCAGCCACUUAGGAUCAUGAGGUGACUUUAUGAGUACCUUAGGGUAUAAGCCAUACUUUAGGAUGGUAGAGUGUAAAAAUAGGUGGAUUCUGGGUUCAUGACGACCAUGGAGCUUUAUUCCAACCGUGAACUCUAGAAGUGGACAUAGAGAUCUAGAUCAAGAUGGAGAUAGAGAGGUUCUUAUUUAAGCCAUUGUUUUGAGGGGUUUCCUGUUACAAUUCAUCUUAUGUUCCUGGUCAGAGUUCUUGUCAUGGCUUGGCAGAAAUGAAUCUGACUAGCAUCCAUGAGGACGCAGGUUCAUUCCCUGGGCUCACUCAGUGGGUUAAGGAUGUGGCAUUGCUGUGAGCUGUGGUGUAGGUCACAGACAUGGCUCGGAUCCUACAUUACUGUGGCUGUGGUGUAGGCCAACAACUACAGCUUCAAUUCCACCUCUACCCUGGGAACUUCCAUAUGCCAUGGGUAUGGCCCUAAAAAGCAAAAAAAUAAAAAUAAAAAUAAAAAAACUUACA